Molecule: ribosomal RNA, 468 nt
Filed under: uncultured bacterium
Lineage: Bacteria
Description: partial 16S ribosomal RNA
Rfam family: Bacterial small subunit ribosomal RNA
Source: RNAcentral
GACGAACGCUGGCGGCGUGCUUAACACAUGCAAGUCGAACGGAAAGGCCCUGCUUUUGUGGGGUUCUCGAGUGGCGAACGCGUGAGUAACACGUGAGUAACCUGCCCUUGACUUUGGGAUAACUUCAGGAAACUGGGGCUACUACCGUAUAGGAUCUCCUGCUGCAUGGUGGGGGUUGGAAAGUUUCGGCGGUUGGGGAUGGACUCGCGGCUUAUCAGCUUGUUGGUGGGGUAGUGGCUUACCAAGGCUUUGACGGGUAGCCGGCCUGAGAGGGUGACCGGCCACAUUGGGACUGAGAUACGGCCCAGACUCCUACGGGAGGCAGCAGUGGGGAAUAUUGCACAAUGGGCGGAAGCCUGAUGCAGCAACGCCGCGUGCGGGAUGACGGCCUUCGGGUUGUAAACCGCUUUCGCCUGUGACGAAGCGUGAGUGACGGUAAUGGGUAAAGAAGCACCGGCUAACUACGUG